UAGAUAAAAGUCCGCUGGUUUGGGUUUUUAGUUGUUAACUAAAUAUAUACGGGAUCGAGGCCCGUUGAUCUAG
Molecule: transfer RNA, 73 nt
Filed under: Hoplodactylus sp. Cromwell
Lineage: Eukaryota; Metazoa; Chordata; Lepidosauria; Squamata; Diplodactylidae
Description: tRNA-Asn
Source: RNAcentral